Molecule: long non-coding RNA, 2483 nt
Filed under: Equus caballus (horse)
Lineage: Eukaryota; Metazoa; Chordata; Mammalia; Perissodactyla; Equidae
Source: RNAcentral
CGGCGGGAGGCAGUGGCAGGCAGGCGGCAGGCGGCGGAGCGCGGGGCGCAGGGGACGCGGGCGGCCGGUGCGCGUCACAGGGGCUCGGGCGCGCGCGUCACAGGGGCCAGGCGACAGCGCGCGCGCGCGCGAGGCUUCUUAGGGGCGCCGGCGGCAGCCGCCAGCGUCUACGGCCAUACCACCCUGAACGCGCCCGAUCUCGUCUGAUCUCGGAAGCUAAGCAGGGUCGGGCCUGGUUAGUACUUGGAUGGGAGACCGCCUGGGAAUACCGGGUGCUGUAGGCUUUUGCCUCCCGCCGCCUCCCUCUCCUUUUGCGCCCCCCCCCCCCCCGGCCCCAGCGCCGCUCCCUCCACGCUCCUCCCGCCCCUCCUCCCUCCUCACCGGUCGCCCCAUCGCCCCGCCACGCCCCCACCGCUGUCCAGCCGCGCGAGUGCCCCGCGGCCGCGGCCACCGCCGCCGCCGCCGCCGCCGCCGCCCAGCCCUUCCACCUCGCGGCCCCACGGGAACCCAGGGCCAACCGGGGCCGGCCCCGCGUGGCCGUGCCCCCGACGCCGCCCUCGUCCGGCGGGCUCCCUCUGUCCUCGGCGGCCUCUUCCCACCCGCCAGGCUCCUGAGAGACCCUAGCGGUCCACUCGGCCGGCGCGGCACCCAAGCAGUUGGUCGAGUCGUGGUGUGCGAUGGAACGGAUCCCGCUCCGGGCUGCGGAGGCCCGGACAGCUUCAGCAAGCUGCCAGCAGCCCCUCCGUCUUCCAGAGCCCAUCUAGGAAAGACCCCGGGUCAGGCCUCUCCAAACAGCACCUACAGAAGGACGGGGCCCACUGGGCUCGAGAGGAACCUUCGGGGCCUGGCCAUCCAUCCCAAGCGGGACGGCUUCUGGAUUUUCUGAUGCCUGCGCCGUGUGUCAGCUUCUCCAAGUCGGUACCUGGCUGUCCUUGAUACCGUCGUUCGCGAGAAACCCUCGUUUCCGCACUGGAGUUGAAGCAGCACAGAGGAAAAGAUUCAGAAACUAAGGAUAAAGAUGCAGGAAGAUCGCGAUGGAGAGGAAUGAAAUUGAGGAGCUCUAAUGGAUGGUAUUUCUCUUCUUAGGAAGGGAGGCAGUGCCCUUAUCCGGCUGGAGAUGUUUCCCAUUGAGCCUGGAGAUUUAAUCUGCAGAUUUGCACCAGCGGUGACACAACCUCCUCAAGGGCACUUGCGAAACACGUUUCUGGGUCCUGUGCAAAGUGAGGCAAGCGGAUUCCUGAAAAUGACAGCACAGUCCAACCACAGCUCAAGUCAAAAGCCAUAAGCACAUCAUGAAAAACAAACCCAUCACUGAACAAAUAUAUGAUAUGUUUACAUUGCAACUAAAUAUUUCACAGUGAGAAACAAGUCUUUUCUGUAAAAAUGUGCUGCAAUGUGUGUAUAUUAUUUCAUAUUUUGGGGAUUAUAUCUUUAGGACUAAUUCCUAGAAGCAUAAUUUCUAGGUCAAAGAGUAAAUCCAUAUACAAAUCUGCUAGAUGUUGCCAAACGCCCUUCUGUAGCACCUCCAACAUUUUGUAUCCCCAUCAACAAUGCGUGAGCUUGGCUGGUUCUCCACAGCCUCGCAACGGAGUGGGGUUUACACUUUUGGAUGAUUCCAAAUUGAUGGGUAAGAAAUGGUACAUCCUUGUACUUUUAGUUUGUUUCUCUUAUUAUUGUUGCUGCAGUCUAGAUCUAGCCAGGAAGAGAGAAACCAGACCAAUUAUUUUAAUAGAGAAAACUGAAUUUGGGUAAAAGGCUAAGCAGGAAUUGGUGGACUAAGCAGGCAAAGAGGAACCAGGAGGAACAGAGAGAAAGUCUAACCAGCUAUAUUAAAAUUCUUCAUAAUUGGAAUGUAUAGAGUGGCUUCGGUAUUCUCACUGAACCAUAACUUCUCUCCAUGACUGUUUGCCCCUGAAUCGUGAUAUUGCCCUCUCUCUGACUCACUUGCUCAAAUUCUGACACUUAGUCUUUUAAUCCAACUGAAUAGAGACGCUUCUUAUAUACUAGGGAACCCAGUUAGAGUGCCUUGAAUGUAAGGAUAUGACCAGAGGGCUCUCUGGGAUUGGAGGAGAAGGAUAUUCAUCUCAGAAAGUUUGUUUAAAUCAGCAUGCCUGUCCCAAACUCCUGAAUUUUUAAAAAUCUGUGCCUGAGAGGUCCCUUGACAAAUUAGGAGGCAGAGUGACACAUUACACAAGCCACUGAAUACUGCAAUCUUGACCCAGUUUCUGAAAGACUCCAUAAUGUAAUCAAUAGCAAUAUAUCUCAUGACAAAGAUAACACAAAAGAAGAAAUUUACAACAAAGUUGAUUCAUGUAUAUUGAUUCAAAAACUCUGAACAAAAUACUAUCAGAUGUUAUAGUGCUAACAAUAAAAUAAUAUUAAUAAUAAAAUGCCAUGACUUAGUAGGUAUACAUUCUAGCAUUUAUUCCAGUAGAUUACCAGGUAUGUGGGCGAAAGGAGAAAAAUAUAAAUUACCAUCUCAU